UGGAGAGUUUGAUCCUGGCUCAGGACGAACGCUGGCGGCGUGCUUAACACAUGCAAGUCGAACGGAAAGGCCCUUCGGGGUGCUCGAGUGGCGAACGGGUGAGUAACACGUGGGUGAUCUGCCCUGCACUUUGGGAUAAGCCUGGGAAACUGGGUCUAAUACCGAAUAGGACUCCGGACUGCAUGGUCUGGGGUGGAAAGCUUUUGCGGUGUGGGAUGGGCCCGCGGCCUAUCAGCUUGUUGGUGGGGUGAUGGCCUACCAAGGCGACGACGGGUAGCCGGCCUGAGAGGGUGACCGGCCACACUGGGACUGAGAUACGGCCCAGACUCCUACGGGAGGCAGCAGUGGGGAAUAUUGCACAAUGGGCGCAAGCCUGAUGCAGCGACGCCGCGUGAGGGAUGACGGCCUUCGGGUUGUAAACCUCUUUCAGCACAGACGAAGCGCAAGUGACGGUAUGUGCAGAAGAAGGACCGGCCAACUACGUGCCAGCAGCCGCGGUA
RNAcentral lists this ribosomal RNA (500 nucleotides) under Mycolicibacterium mageritense. RNAcentral describes it as "bacterial SSU rRNA". It matches the Rfam family "Bacterial small subunit ribosomal RNA", at positions 1 to 522 of the family's 1533-position model. The record is from RNAcentral. Lineage: Bacteria; Bacillati; Actinomycetota; Actinomycetes; Mycobacteriales; Mycobacteriaceae.